CCAGACUCCUACGGGAGGCAGCAGUGAGGAAUAUUGGUCAAUGGGCGCGAGCCUGAACCAGCCAAGUCGCGUGAGGGAUGACGGUCCUACGGAUUGUAAACCUCUUUUGCCGGGGAGCAAGCGUGCGUUCGUGAACGCGCGUCGAGAGUACCCGGAGAAAAAGCAUCGGCUAACUCCGUGCCAGCAGCCGCGGUAAUACGGAGGAUGCGAGCGUUAUCCGGAUUUAUUGGGUUUAAAGGGUGCGUAGGCGGGAUGCCAAGUCAGCGGUAAAAAUGCGGUGCUCAACGCCGUCGAGCCGUUGAAACUGGCAGUCUCGAGUUGGAGAGAAGUAUGCGGAAUGCGCGGUGUAGCGGUGAAAUGCAUAGAUAUCGCGCAGAACUCCGAUUGCGAAGGCAGCAUACCGGCGCUCAACUGACGCUCAUGCACGAAAGUGUGGGUAUCGAACAGGAUUAGAUCCCCGAGUA
This 464-nucleotide ribosomal RNA is filed under the name uncultured bacterium. RNAcentral describes it as "bacterial SSU rRNA". It matches the Rfam family "Bacterial small subunit ribosomal RNA", at positions 331 to 792 of the family's 1533-position model. The record is from RNAcentral.